RNAcentral lists this ribosomal RNA (459 nucleotides) under uncultured bacterium. RNAcentral describes it as "partial 16S ribosomal RNA". It matches the Rfam family "Bacterial small subunit ribosomal RNA", at positions 338 to 795 of the family's 1533-position model. The record is from RNAcentral.
CCUACGGGUGGCAGCAGUGAGGAAUAUUGGUCAAUGGGCGAGAGCCUGAACCAGCCAAGUCGCGUGAGGGAAGACGGUCCUAUGGAUUGUAAAACUCUUUUGCCGGGGAGCAAAAAGCGGUACGUGUACCGCAUCGAGAGUACCCGGAGAAAAAGCAUCGGCUAACUCCGUGCCAGCAGCCGCGGUAAUACGGAGGAUGCGAGCGUUAUACGGAUUGAUGGGGUUGAAAGGGUGCGCAGGCGGCGAGUUAAGUCAGCGGUAAAAUUUCGGGGCUCAACCCCGACGAGCCGUUGAAACUGGCGUGCUAGAGUGGGCGAGAAGUAUGCGGAAUGCGUGGUGUAGCGGUGAAAUGCAUAGAUAUCACGCAGAACUCCGAUUGCGAAGGCAGCAUACCGGCGCCCAACUGACGCUCAGGCACGAAAGCGUGGGUAUCGAACAGGAUUAGAUACCCUUGUAGUC